UUGACCUCGGAUCAGGUAGGGGUACCCGCUGAACUUAAGCAUAUCAAUAAGCGGAGGAAAAGAAACCAACAGGGAUUGCCUCAGUAACGGCGAGUGAAGCGGCAAGAGCUCAAAUUUGAAAUCUGGCGCCCCGCCGGCGUCCGAGUUGUAAUUUGGAGAGGCAUCUCAGGAGGG
This 174-nucleotide ribosomal RNA is filed under the name Tuber aestivum (summer truffle). RNAcentral's name for it is "partial 28S ribosomal RNA". It matches the Rfam family "Eukaryotic large subunit ribosomal RNA", at positions 1 to 171 of the family's 3401-position model. The record is from RNAcentral. Lineage: Eukaryota; Fungi; Ascomycota; Pezizomycetes; Pezizales; Tuberaceae.